This 392-nucleotide ribosomal RNA is filed under the name Labyrinthulaceae sp. Its description in RNAcentral is "partial small subunit ribosomal RNA". It matches the Rfam family "Eukaryotic small subunit ribosomal RNA", at positions 582 to 975 of the family's 1831-position model. The record is from RNAcentral. Lineage: Eukaryota; Bigyra; Labyrinthulida; Labyrinthulaceae.
AUUCCAGCUCCAAUAGCGUAUAUUAAUGUUGUUGCAGUUAAAAAGCUCGUAGUUGGAUCUCUAACGCACGCGGCCGGUCCGCCCCUCACGGGGUGUGCACUGCGCCGUCGUGCGUUAUCCUGGGGGAGAGCGUCCCGCGCAUUAGGUUGCGUGGGUCGGGAUCCUCCACGUUUACUCAAAAUAAAUAAGAGUGUUCAAAGCAGGCGAUUGCUGUGAAUUCUUCAGUUGGGAAUAAUAAGAUAGGACUCGGGGACUAUUUUGUUGGUUUGCAUCUCCGAGUAAUGAUUAAUAGGGACAGUUGGAGAUAUUCAUAUUCAGUUGUCAGAGGUGAAAUUCUUGGAUUUACGGAAGAUGAACUACUGCGAAAGCAUUUAUCGAGGAUGUUUUCAUCA